AGUCUAAGUAUAAGUGAUUCURAUGACGAAACUGCGAAUGGCUCGGUAAAACAGCAAUAAUUUCUUCGAUGGUAACCUACUAUACGGAUAACCGUAGUAAUUCUAGAGCUAAUACGUGCCAUAAACGCGAGUUUUUCUCGUGGUGCCAAUUAGAUAACAACACCAACAUAUGGUGAUUCAUAAUUUUCUUUCUGAUCGCUGAGCAAUUAGCGACGCAUCGUUCAAAUUUCUGACCUAUCAACUUUAGAUGGUAAGGUAGUGUCUUACCAUGGUGGCAACGGGUAACGGACCGUGGGUGCGGGACUCCGGAGAGGGAGCCUGAGAAACGGCUACCACAUCCWAGGAAGGCAGCAGGCGCGCAAAUUACCCACUCGGGAUUCCCGGAGGUAGUGACAAGAAAUAUCAAUAGGGGACCCUAUGGGUCUUCUAAUUGGAAUGAGAACAAGCUAAACAGCUUAUCGAGAAUCCAGCAGAGGGCAAGUCUGGUGCCAGCUGCCGCGGGUUAAUUCCGUUAACGAGCGAGACCUGGGCGUGCUAAAUAGGGGCUACUACCGCUUUGGUAGUACGUCACCCCUUCUUAGACGGACUGCGGGCGUCUAGUCCGCGGAAGCUCCAGGCAAUAACAGGUCUGAGAUGCCCUUAGAUGUUCUGGGCCGCACGCGUGCUACACUGAGUGGAUCAGCGGGUCAGGUUGCACGAAAGUGUUUCCUAAUCUUUAAAUCCGCUCGUGAUGGGGAUUGAGGGUUGCAAUUUUCCCUCAUGAACGAGGAAUACCUUGUAAGCGUGGGUCAUCAUCCCGCGCUGAAUACGUCCCUGCCCUUUGUACACACCGCCCGUCGCUCCUACCGAUUGAGUGGUCCGGUGAGGCUUUGGGAUUGUAGCGGGAAGAGCGCAUCGCUCGUUCUGCCACGAGAACUCAGUCGAACCUUAUCAUUUAGAGGAA
This 943-nucleotide ribosomal RNA is filed under the name Synarthrophyton patena. RNAcentral's name for it is "SSU rRNA". It matches the Rfam family "Eukaryotic small subunit ribosomal RNA". The record is from RNAcentral. Lineage: Eukaryota; Rhodophyta; Florideophyceae; Hapalidiales; Hapalidiaceae.